GACGUAGGAGGCGAGCGUUGUCCGGAUUCAUUGGGCGUAAAGGGCGCGCAGGCGGCUCGCGGCGUCACUCGUGAAAGCCCCCGGCUCAACCGGGGAGGGACGGGUGAAACGGGCGGGCUGGAGGCCAGUAGGGGGAAGCGGAAUUCCCGGUGUAGUGGUGGAAUGCGUAGAGAUCGGGAGGAACACCAGUGGCGAAGGCGGCUUCCUGGGCUGGGCCUGACGCUGAGGCGCGAAAGCGUGGGGAGCGAUCCGG
Molecule: ribosomal RNA, 253 nt
Filed under: uncultured bacterium
Lineage: Bacteria
Description: partial 16S ribosomal RNA
Rfam family: Bacterial small subunit ribosomal RNA
Source: RNAcentral